AGCGCAGACGGUUAUUUAAGCAAGAUGUGAAAGCCCCGGGCUCAACCUGGGAACUGCGUUUUGAACUGGGUAACUAGAGUGUGUCAGAGGGGGGUAGGAAUUCCACGUGUAGCAGUGAAAUGCGUAGAGAUGUGGAGGAAUACCGAUGGCGAAGGCGGGCUCUCUGGCCUGUAACUGACACUGAGGCUCGAAAGCGUGGGGAGCAAACG
RNAcentral lists this ribosomal RNA (209 nucleotides) under uncultured bacterium. RNAcentral's name for it is "partial 16S ribosomal RNA". It matches the Rfam family "Bacterial small subunit ribosomal RNA", at positions 568 to 774 of the family's 1533-position model. The record is from RNAcentral.